This 2093-nucleotide long non-coding RNA is filed under the name Homo sapiens (human). RNAcentral describes it as "non-protein coding lnc-AKR7A2-2:1". The record is from RNAcentral. Lineage: Eukaryota; Metazoa; Chordata; Mammalia; Primates; Hominidae.
ACAGAUGGGAGCAGAGAAGCCGGUCUUUCUAGCAUUUCUCUCCCUCUUUUCCACUAGUCCUCAGUAAAACAGCCUUGCCAGAACCAGAUGUCUUUUUUCUGCAGAUAUUUACUGUUAUGACUUGGGAGGCAGCAGGUUCUGGACUGUUGCCCUCACCUAGACCGCCCCCCCCCCUUGUCAGAUGCCACCCGUUUUCUCAGACCCGUCGGUCUCCCAGACCACAUUGCUUUGUGAGCAGAUGCCUGUCAGGGACAGCUCUAUCAGAACAGACCGAGUCCAGCCCAGUGAGCCGUGAUGUUCUCUCACUGCUCGGUCCCCCCUCUGCCAUCUACAGCGACAUAGGUUGGGUCUGUUCCCCUGGCAGACAGCAGGCCUUCAGAGCCCUGCCAGAAUCUCUUGUGUCUCCCCUAGCACACACACAUCCCUCCCCACCCACCACCGCCAGGCCUGGAUAGCCCUAGUUCUCUCCCAUUUCUUGGUGUCAGGGUGUUCAGACCUUUUAAGCAGAUGAAUGCUAACUCAUUCAAGGCUUUUAAAACCCAGUGCCUUAGCAGGGUACAGUGGCACACACCUGUAGUUACAGCUGUGUGGGAGGAUUGCAGGAGUUCCUGUCUAGCCUGGGCAACAUAGCAAGACCUCCUUGUCUUUUAAAAGAAAAUUAAAAAAAAAAAAGUGCCCUAAACUGAAUCCAGCCCUGCAGAUGUAGCUGGGCCAGGACAGAACAGAGGGUAACCACUGCCUUCCCAAGCAAGCAAUGGAAACUGGCAGCUGCAGUGUCUUCAUCACGCGAUGGGGUGGGAAUGCUGCCCCUUAUCUGGGCACAAGGAAUAGUGUCAUCUGUGCACCUUAAAGUUGCACAAAAGCUUUCCUAGUAGCGACAUCUCAUCCUUGUCAAACUUGAAAUUAUCUAAAAACCACAAGUCUCUUCAUAGGAACUGUUUGCAAGUCAGCAGUUCCCCAUUUUGUACUGCAUGAAAUGCACCCUUGAGCCUAAAUAUCUGGCUUGCAUUUGCCCUGGUACAUUUAACUGGCGUGGUGAAGUAGGAGGAGCAAAGGCGUCGGAAUCUAACAGUGCUGUAUGAUUCUUGCUUCUUUAAGCUUCGGUUUCCUUGGGUUUAAAACAGGGUUCCUAGGAAGCUGAGAUGGAAAAAGGUGGCUGCCGCCUGGCUCCAUUCCAAGUUGCUGCUCUCGUUCUGUAGCUAGCCCAGGUUUCCGGGUUCCGUAUUAACCCUGUGACCAUCUCAACCCUUGACACUGUCGAUAGGAAGCUGGUCGUUCUCUCAGCUGGGCCUUUACUUAAGUCCUGGACAAACAAGUUGACCAAGGGCAGGCAGAGACUGCUACAGGGUGCCACAUAGUGUAUGCAGUGCACAAAUGGUUCUAUUUUUGGUGGGUCGGUGUUGCCAGCGAGCUGACCCUGACCAGGUGUGGAGGGGAGUGGGUGGGGGGCUGUGGAAAUGUGGCCAGGUCCCUACCCCUAUCGGCAGAGGCUCCAUCCUGCCCUUCCUCUCAGCCACAGGUGCAGGAUGGUAGAUGGGAACUUGCCAGAAGGAUGCGACCCUAUUUAAGUAGUUGUGUUUUCUUCCAGCCCAGCAUCCCCACCAAAACAGGAAAAGAAGUGCUCUCGUGCAGGGCUUGUUCACAGUGAGCCUGGCUGGCUCCUCAUGAUCUCUGAGUUUAAAAUGUGCCAGCAGAUGAUUUUAACGAUCCCAUCAAAAAUUGUUGUCUGGAUCAGUUUCGAGCUAGCGUUUCCUUGCAGAGGCCAUUCUUCCUUUUUUGACAAAAGUUGGGUCGGCCAGGUGCAGUGGCUCAUACUUGUAAUCCCAGCACUUCGGGAGGCUGAGGCAGGUGGAUCACCUGAGGUCAGAAGUUCAAGACCAGCCUGGCCAACAUGGCAAAACCCUGUCUCUACUAAAAAUAAAAAAUAAAAAUAAAAAUAAAAAAAAGCCGGACGUGGUGGUGGGCACCUGUAAUCCCAGCUACUGGGGAGGCUGAGGCAGGAGAAUCACUUGAACCCAGGAGGCAGAGGUUGCAGUGAGCCAAGAUUGCACCAUUGCACUCCAGCCUGGGCGACAAGAGCGAAACUCCGUCUC